RNAcentral lists this ribosomal RNA (428 nucleotides) under uncultured bacterium. RNAcentral's name for it is "bacterial SSU rRNA". It matches the Rfam family "Bacterial small subunit ribosomal RNA", at positions 355 to 774 of the family's 1533-position model. The record is from RNAcentral.
UGGGGAAUUUUGGACAAUGGGCGAAAGCCUGAUCCAGCCAUGCCGCGUGAGUGAAGAAGGCCUUCGGGUUGUAAAGCUCUUUUAGUCGGAAAGAAAGAGUUGCAAUGAAUAAUUGUGAUUUAUGACGGUACCGACAGAAAAAGCACCGGCUAACUACGUGCCAGCAGCCGCGGUAAUACGUAGGGUGCGAGCGUUAAUCGGAAUUACUGGGCGUAAAGGGUGCGCAGGCGGUCUUGCAAGUCAGAUGUGAAAGCCCCGGGCUUAACCUGGGAAUUGCGUUUGAAACUACAAGGCUAGAGUGCAGCAGAGGGGAGUGGAAUUUCCAUGUGUAGCAGUGAAAUGCGUAGAGAUGUGGAAGAACACCGAUGGCGAAGGCAGCUCCCUGGGUUGACACUGACGCUCAUGCACGAAAGCGUGGGGAGCAAACA